RNAcentral lists this ribosomal RNA (497 nucleotides) under uncultured bacterium. RNAcentral describes it as "partial 16S ribosomal RNA". It matches the Rfam family "Bacterial small subunit ribosomal RNA", at positions 28 to 507 of the family's 1533-position model. The record is from RNAcentral.
GAUGAACGCUGGCGGCGUGCCUAAUACAUGCAAGUCGAGCGAACAGACGAUGAGCUUGCUCCUCUUACGUUAGCGGCGGACGGGCGAGUAACACGUGGAUAACCUACCUAUAAGACUGAGAUAACUUCGGGAAACCGGAGCUAAUACCGGAUAAUAUAUUGAACCGCAUGGUUCAAUAGUGAAAGACGGUUUUGCUGUCACUUAUAGAUGGAUCGGCGCCGCAUUAGCUAGUUGGUAAGGUAACGGCUUACCAAGGCGACGAUGCGUAGCCGACCUGAGAGGGUGAUAGGCCACACUAGAACUGAGACACGGUCCAGACUCCUACGGGAGGCAGCGGUGGGGAAUCUUCCGCAAUGGGCGAAAGCCUGACGGAGAAAAGCCGCGUGAGGGAUGAAGGUAUUCGGAUAGUAAAACUCUGUUAUUAGGGAAGAACAAAUGUGUAAGUAACGAUGCACGUCUUGACGGUACCUAAUCAGAAAGCAACGGCUAACUACGUG